Molecule: ribosomal RNA, 496 nt
Filed under: uncultured bacterium
Lineage: Bacteria
Description: partial 16S ribosomal RNA
Rfam family: Bacterial small subunit ribosomal RNA
Source: RNAcentral
AUGCACGCUGGCGGCGUGCCUAAUACAUGCAAGUCGAGCGAACGGACGAGAAGCUUGCUUUUCUGAUGUUAGCGGCGGACGGGUGAGUAACACGUGGAUAACCUACCUAUAAGACUGGGAUAACUUCGGGAAACCGGAGCUAAUACCGGAUAAUAUUUUGAACCGCAUGGUUCAUAAGUGAAAGACGGUCUUGCUGUCACUUAUAGAUGGAUCCGCGCUGCAUUAGCUAGUUGGUAAGGUAACGGCUUACCAAGGCAACGAUGCAUAGCCGACCUGAGAGGGUGAUCGGCCACACUGGAACUGAGACACGGUCCAGACUCCUACGGGAGGCAGCAGUAGGGAAUCUUCCGCAAUGGGCGAAAGCCUGACGGAGCAACGCCGCGUGAGUGAUGAAGGUCUUCGGAUCGUAAAACUCUGUUAUUAGGGAAGAACAUAUGUGUAAGUAACUGUGCACAUCUUGACGGUACCUAAUCAGAAAGCCACGGCUAACUACGUG